This 253-nucleotide ribosomal RNA is filed under the name uncultured bacterium. RNAcentral describes it as "partial 16S ribosomal RNA". It matches the Rfam family "Bacterial small subunit ribosomal RNA", at positions 524 to 776 of the family's 1533-position model. The record is from RNAcentral.
UACGAAGGGGGCUAGCGUUACUCGGAUUGACUGGGCGUAAAGGGCGCGUAGGCGGCUUGUACAGUCAGACGUGAAAUUCCUGGGCUCAACCUGGGGGCUGCGUUUGAUACGUGCGGGCUUGAGUUCGGAAGAGGGUCGUGGAAUUCCCAGUGUAGAGGUGAAAUUCGUAGAUAUUGGGAAGAACACCGGUGGCGAAGGCGGCGACCUGGUCCGAUACUGACGCUGAGGUGCGAAAGCGUGGGGAGCAAACAGG